GAUGAACGCUGGCGGCGUGCCUAAUACAUGCAAGUCGAGCGAACAGACGAGGAGCUUGCUCCUCUGACGUUAGCGGCGGACGGGUGAGUCACACGUGGAUAACCUACCUAUAAGACUGGUAUAACUUCGGGAAACCGGAGCUAAUACCGGAUAAUAUAUUGAACCGCAUGGUUCAAUAGUGAAAGACGGUUUUGCUGUCACUUAUAGAUGGAUCCGCGCCGCAUUAGCUAGUUGGUAAGGUAAAGGCUUAGCAAGGCAACGAUGCGUAGCCGACGUGAGAGGGUGAUAGGCCGCAUUGGAACGGAGACACGCACCAUGCUCCUGCGGGAGGCAGCAGAAGGGAACCGUCCGCAAUGGGCGAAAGCCUUGCGGAGCAGCGCCGCGUGAGUGAUGAAGGUCUUCGGAGCGUAAAACUCUGUUAUUAGUGAAGAACAAAUGUGUAAGUAACUAUGCACGGCUUGACGGUACCUAAUCAGAAAGCCACGGCUAACUACGUG
This 497-nucleotide ribosomal RNA is filed under the name uncultured bacterium. RNAcentral's name for it is "partial 16S ribosomal RNA". It matches the Rfam family "Bacterial small subunit ribosomal RNA", at positions 28 to 507 of the family's 1533-position model. The record is from RNAcentral.